RNAcentral lists this ribosomal RNA (125 nucleotides) under Chlamydocillium curvulum. RNAcentral's name for it is "Kiflimonium curvulum partial small subunit ribosomal RNA". It matches the Rfam family "Eukaryotic small subunit ribosomal RNA", at positions 1657 to 1779 of the family's 1831-position model. The record is from RNAcentral. Lineage: Eukaryota; Fungi; Ascomycota; Sordariomycetes; Hypocreales.
CCUUUGUACACACCGCCCGUCGCUACUACCGAUUGAAUGGCUCAGUGAGGCGUCCGGACUGGCCCAGGGAGGUGGGCAACUACCACCCAGGGCCGGGAAGUUCUCCAAACUCGGUCAUUUAGAGG